This 301-nucleotide ribosomal RNA is filed under the name uncultured bacterium. Its description in RNAcentral is "partial 16S ribosomal RNA". It matches the Rfam family "Bacterial small subunit ribosomal RNA", at positions 509 to 807 of the family's 1533-position model. The record is from RNAcentral.
CAGCCGCCGCGGUAAUGCGUAGGUGGCAAGCGUUGUCCGGAAUUAUUGGGCGUAAAGCGCGCGCAGGCGGCCUCUUAAGUCUGAUGUGAAAGCCCCCGGCUCAACCGGGGAGGGCCAUUGGAAACUGGGAGGCUUGAGUAUAGGAGAGAAGAGUGGAAUUCCACGUGUAGCGGUGAAAUGCGUAGAGAUGUGGAGGAACACCAGUGGCGAAGGCGACUCUUUGGCCUAUAACUGACGCUGAGGCGCGAAAGCGUGGGGAGCAAACAGGAUUAGAUACCCCAGUAGUCCCUGUCUCUUAUAC